AGUGUCAGCAAAUUGACUCAUGAUGCUGUAGAGUUCAGCCCAGUCAAUGUGAAUGCCAACUUACCUGAUAUUAGAGCAAGUGUCAGUCAAUUGCCUCAUGAAGCUGUCAAGUUUUGGUUGAGUCUGCUUGCAAGGACAGUCAAGUGGCUUACUGUUACAGUCAGGUGUCAAUAUUGAUUGUCUUGUGAUGAUUUCAACCUCUUUUGGGCCAAUCCUACACAUGCC
Molecule: long non-coding RNA, 225 nt
Organism: Actinia tenebrosa (Australian red waratah sea anemone)
Lineage: Eukaryota; Metazoa; Cnidaria; Anthozoa; Actiniaria; Actiniidae
Source: RefSeq, a predicted model, not a curated record